GGGGAUGGAAGGGUCCCGGUGGACUCCUCGGUCUUCAAAACCGGUGGCGGGCUGUCAGGCAGGCCGCGGUGGGUUCGACUCCCAUCCAUUCCCGC
RNAcentral lists this transfer RNA (95 nucleotides) under Anaerolineae bacterium. RNAcentral's name for it is "tRNA-Sec". It matches the Rfam family "Selenocysteine transfer RNA". The record is from RNAcentral. Lineage: Bacteria; Bacillati; Chloroflexota; Anaerolineae.